Molecule: ribosomal RNA, 746 nt
Filed under: Roseovarius pacificus
Lineage: Bacteria; Pseudomonadati; Pseudomonadota; Alphaproteobacteria; Rhodobacterales; Roseobacteraceae
Description: bacterial SSU rRNA
Rfam family: Bacterial small subunit ribosomal RNA
Source: RNAcentral
AUGCAGUCGAACGAAGCCUUCGGGCUUAGUGGCGGACGGGUUAGUAACGCGUGGGAACGUGCCUUUCACUACGGAAUAGUCCCGGGAAACUGGGUUUAAUACCGUAUACGCCCUUCGGGGGAAAGAAUUUCGGUGAAAGAUCGGCCCGCGUUAGAUUAGGUAGUUGGUGGGGUAAUGGCCUACCAAGCCUACGAUCUAUAGCUGGUUUUAGAGGAUGAUCAGCAACACUGGGACUGAGACACGGCCCAGACUCCUACGGGAGGCAGCAGUGGGGAAUCUUGGACAAUGGGCGCAAGCCUGAUCCAGCCAUGCCGCGUGAGUGAUGAAGGCCUUAGGGUCGUAAAGCUCUUUCGCCAGGGAUGAUAAUGACAGUACCUGGUAAAGAAACCCCGGCUAACUCCGUGCCAGCAGCCGCGGUAAUACGGAGGGGGUUAGCGUUGUUCGGAAUUACUGGGCGUAAAGCGCGCGUAGGCGGAUCGGAAAGUUGGGGGUGAAAUCCCGGGGCUCAACCCCGGAACUGCCUCCAAAACUAUCGGUCUAGAGUUCGAGAGAGGUGAGUGGAAUUCCGAGUGUAGAGGUGAAAUUCGUAGAUAUUCGGAGGAACACCAGUGGCGAAGGCGGCUCACUGGCUCGAUACUGACGCUGAGGUGCGAAAGUGUGGGGAGCAAACAGGAUUAGAUACCCUGGUAGUCCACACCGUAAACGAUGAAUGCCAGUCGUCGGGCAGUAUACUGUUCGGUGACACA